This is a long non-coding RNA of Octopus bimaculoides (California two-spot octopus), 706 nucleotides long. RefSeq lists it as uncharacterized. Lineage: Eukaryota; Metazoa; Mollusca; Cephalopoda; Octopoda; Octopodidae. The record is from RefSeq and is a predicted model, not a curated record.
UUUCACUCUCUCUAAUUUAUUACCUUAUCGCUUCUAUAGUUCUCUUCUUACUACAUCUCCUAAUAUGUUCUCUUAUCUCUAUUCUCAACAAUGACUUCGUCUUCUUUAGGUAAAUCCAUGAUCAGAAGGAAUGGUUAAGUGGUACAGCAUGGUGAGAAGAGGGAAAGAAUUGUUAUGCAGUUCUCCGUAUGAAGGGAAAAUGAAAAUGAAUGCUAGCAGAUCCAAAGUUGUGCGAGGAAUAAAGAUAAAAGAUAGAUGGUUAAAAGGCAUGUAUUGGAUAUAUAUUGUUCAGUAUAUAUAUUGUUCAGUGGUAUUCAUUCCAGAGGAAGAAUGAAUUCUAGCAGCUCCAAAGUUGUGUGAAUAUUCACACAACUUUCGAAUUUAACCAUUCUUUUUUGAUCAGGGAUUUACCAAAAGAAGACCUGAUACAACUGGAUUUAAUUGGACCCGCCUACCCUCCUGGACAUAAAGAAUCACAACAAAUGUCAUUGAUGAGGAACAUUCUUCCACUAUCUAACUUAUAUUUCUUUGAUGAUGGAAUACCCAACUUAUAGAGUCUUUGCUCGAUAUGAUGCUCCAAUAGCUAGGAUAUCCCAGAAACAGCUGUCAGAGACCAUCUUUACCAUUUUGUACUAUUUUUACCAUUCGUUAUGUAGCUAAAUUUUAGAUUGAAUUAAAUGAAAUUAAAUUUCCUUGUCCUGCAUUA